AACGCGAAGAACCUUACCUGGGCUCGAAAUGUAGAGGACUAUACAAGAGAUUGUAUAUCCCGAAAGGGUCUCUAUAUAGGUGCUGCAUGGCUGUCGUCAGCUCGUGCCGUGAGGUGUUUGGUUAAGUCCAGCAACGAGCGCAACCCUUAUCGUUAGUUGCCAACGCGUAAUGGCGGGAACUCUAACGAGACUGCCUAGGUUAACUAGGAGGAAGGUGAGGAUGACGUCAAGUCCGCAUGGCCUUUAUGUCCAGGGCUACACACGUGCUACAAUGGUCGGUACAGAAGGCAGCGAAGCCGCGAGGUGGAGCAAAUCCUAUAAAACCGAUCUCAGUUCAGAUUGCAGUCUGCAACUCGGCUGCAUGAAGUUGGAAUUGCUAGUAAUGGCGAGUCAGCAAUAUCGCCGUGAAUACGUUCCCGGGCCUUGUACACACCGGCUAC
This 440-nucleotide ribosomal RNA is filed under the name uncultured bacterium. Its description in RNAcentral is "bacterial SSU rRNA". It matches the Rfam family "Bacterial small subunit ribosomal RNA", at positions 958 to 1397 of the family's 1533-position model. The record is from RNAcentral.